This 411-nucleotide long non-coding RNA is filed under the name Sinocyclocheilus anshuiensis. RNAcentral describes it as "lncRNA (ENSSANG00000039774.1)". The record is from RNAcentral. Lineage: Eukaryota; Metazoa; Chordata; Actinopteri; Cypriniformes; Cyprinidae.
AUUUUGUCAAAGUCACUUUUACUAUAUGAUUCCUGCCCUCUCUGACACUUUCUGCAGCCUGUUUCUCCUCCCUCUCUUCCUCCUCCUUCCCGCACAGCCUGGGAAGUAAUCCUAUAUAUAUUAGUUGUUCACCCUGCUCUCUGACAUUGUGUCACACAAAGAAAAAUGCCUGAAGAAGUUCCUGCUCAGUGCAAGGCUCCCAAAGAUGAGCUGGACAAAUGUGUUCAGGGGAAGGGUGCAGAGGGCUGUAAGGAGCUGCUGGAAUCUUUUGAGGCCUGUGUGAAGGGGGCCACGACAACCUCGUGAGGGGACAUGCAUUUACAUGGCCAUCCUUUCUGGGUCCUCCAGUGUCCUUGCAUUCCCUCACAUUGCACUGGACUAAACCAUUCUAAGGACAGUGAAAGGGGUGCA